UUACAAUCAGAACUAAUGAUGCCAGAUUCGCAAAUAAAUAACUAUUUUGAUCUAAUCUGACAAAUGGGUUUGCAAAAAGGUCUGAAUUUGUUUACAAUUCAGUUUAAUUCACUCAUGCACAGAACUGGUUUCAGCAAUUUCUCACACUGAAAUAGUGACUGGAUACUGUAGCUGCCGUCAGAGGCAACUCUCAUAUAUUUCAGUUCAUAAUAUGCACUUUACAGUUAAAAGGUAAAUAAAUAGUUAAAAUCUUCAGAAUAAUCAUUAGAAUAAAUAAGUAAUAUAAUUUUUGUUAAAACGUGUCAAUUAAUUUAAUAUUAUUCAGCUAAAACCAUAGAAAAAGGGGGGAACCUAUUUCCUUUUUGUUCCGCUUGGGAAUUAUUUAAUUGAUGCUAUCAGGAUAUUUUUUGCGGUGCACUACAUGUAGAAGAGCCACACGAGGUGCUGCACUCGUAACAUGUCUGUAAAAGUUAUCUGGAAGAAGUGCUAAGAUGUUAUAUUGUCUUUUUGUUUAAGAAGAAGAAACUGUAACCCUCCAAGUUUAUUCCUCUUGAGUUAGAGAGGCCAAUGAGUUCUAACGGCAUUGUUGGACAUAAAGGGCUGCAAGACUAGAAUGAACAAGACAUGUUGAAGACUCGUGUCCAAAUAAAUGUCUGUUAAAACCAA
Long non-coding RNA from Megalobrama amblycephala (Wuchang bream), 666 nucleotides. RefSeq lists it as uncharacterized. The transcript is spliced from 2 exons. Lineage: Eukaryota; Metazoa; Chordata; Actinopteri; Cypriniformes; Xenocyprididae. The record is from RefSeq and is a predicted model, not a curated record.